RNAcentral lists this ribosomal RNA (253 nucleotides) under uncultured bacterium. RNAcentral describes it as "partial 16S ribosomal RNA". It matches the Rfam family "Bacterial small subunit ribosomal RNA", at positions 524 to 776 of the family's 1533-position model. The record is from RNAcentral.
UACGUAGGGUGCAAGCGUUAAUCGGAAUUACUGGGCGUAAAGCGUGCGCAGGCGGUUGUGCAAGACAGAUGUGAAAUCCCCGGGCUCAACCUGGGAAUUGCAUUUGUGACUGCACGGCUAGAGUGUGUCAGAGAGGGGUAGAAUUCCACGUGUAGCAGUGAAAUGCGUAGAGAUGUGGAGGAAUACCGAUGGCGAAGGCAGCCCCCUGGGAUAACACUGACGCUCAUGCACGAAAGCGUGGGGAGCAAACAGG